Molecule: ribosomal RNA, 301 nt
Filed under: uncultured bacterium
Lineage: Bacteria
Description: partial 16S ribosomal RNA
Rfam family: Bacterial small subunit ribosomal RNA
Source: RNAcentral
CAGCCGCCGCGGUAAUACAGAGGGUGCGAGCGUUAAUCGGAUUUACUGGGCGUAAAGCGUUCGUAGGCGGCUUCUUAAGUCGGAUGUGAAAUCCCUGAGCUUAACUUAGGAAUUGCAUUCGAUACUGGGAAGCUAGAGUAUGGGAGAGGAUGGUAGAAUUCCAGGUGUAGCGGUGAAAUGCGUAGAGAUCUGGAGGAAUACCGAUGGCGAAGGCAGCCAUCUGGCCUAAUACUGACGCUGAGGUACGAAAGCAUGGGGAGCAAACAGGAUUAGAUACCCCAGUAGUCCCUGUCUCUUAUAU